CCUUUUAAGGGAGACCCAGGAAGGAGUCAGGGAGAAACCCAAAACUAAAAACUCCCUUCAAUUAGACUCUGACCCAUCCCAGGUCGGACGAAGUAAUCACAGUUGGCUUUCAAACUAUUUUAGGUUCAUUUUAUUAGAGACAACUCAGCAAGAGACGAAAGUCAAGAUGCUGGGUGAAAGUCCAGCCAGAACCUUGAAAACUGCAUAGAGAAAAGUCAGGAAAGUCUAGUAUCAAACAAAGACUCAGGUCAAGCUACAAAGGGCUAAUGGUGGAUACCUAGGCACACAGAG
RNAcentral lists this unclassified non-coding RNA (291 nucleotides) under Affixifilum granulosum BLCC-M117. RNAcentral describes it as "partial contains 16S-23S ribosomal RNA intergenic spacer and 23S ribosomal RNA". Lineage: Bacteria; Bacillati; Cyanobacteriota; Cyanophyceae; Oscillatoriales; Sirenicapillariaceae. RNAcentral also lists the same sequence under 3 other names. The record is from RNAcentral.